UAUCGUAGGAAGGCGAACUGCUCAGUAACACGUAGAUAAUUUGCCCUUAGGUGAAGGAUAAGCACGGGAAACUGUGUCUAAUACUUCAUAGAGGAUUAGACCUGGAAAGGUAUUUCCUUGAAAUUCGUGCCUAAGGAUAAGUCUGCGGAUGAUUAGCUUGUUGGUGGGGUAACUGCCUACCAAGGCGAUGAUCAUUACGGGCUCUUAGCGGAGUUGCCCGGAGACGGAAUCUGAGACACUAUUCCGAGCUCUACGGAGUGCAGCAGUCGCGGAACUUUUACAAUGCGCGAAAGCGUGAUAAAGCGAACCAAAGUGCUAUUCUUUUUGAAUAGCUUUUUCUCUACGUAAAAACUAGGGAGAAUAAGGACUGGGAAAGACUGGUGCCAGCCGCCGCGGUAAUACCAGCAGUUCAAGUUGCAUCCAUUUAAAUUGGGUCUAAAACAUCCGUAGCUUGGUGCUUAAGUCUCUUGUGAAAUCUCACGUCUCAAGCGUGGUGAAGUGCAGGAGAUACUGGGCACCUAGAGAUCGGUAGACGUAAGCAGUACG
This 546-nucleotide ribosomal RNA is filed under the name uncultured archaeon. Its description in RNAcentral is "bacterial SSU rRNA". It matches the Rfam family "Archaeal small subunit ribosomal RNA", at positions 69 to 619 of the family's 1478-position model. The record is from RNAcentral.